GAAAGAUUCAUCGGAAGAGGAUGGGCAUGCGGCGCAUUAGCUUGACGGCGGGGUAACGGCCCACCGUGGCGACGAUGCGUAGGGGUUCUGAGAGGAAGGUCCCCCACACUGGUACUGAGACACGGACCAGACUCCUACGGGAGGCAGCAGUGAGGAAUAUUGGUCAAUGGGAGAGAUCCUGAACCAGCCAAGCCGCGUGAGGGAAGACGGCCCUAUGGGUUGUAAACCUCUUUUGUCGGAGAACAAAACCCGGGACGUGUCCCGGACUGCGUGUAUCCGAAGAAAAAGCAUCGGCUAACUCCGUGCCAGCAGCCGCGGUAAUACGGAGGAUGCGAGCGUUAUCCGGAUUUAUUGGGUUUAAAGGGUGCGUAGGCGGUCCGUUAAGUCAGCGGUAAAAUUGCGGGGCUCAACCCCGUCGAGCCGUUGAAACUGGCAGACUUGAGUUGGCGAGAAGUACGCGGAAUGCGCGGUGUAGCGGUGAAAUGCAUAGAUAUCGCGCAGAACUCCGAUUGCGAAGGCAGCGUACCGGCGCCAGACUGACGCUGAGGCACGAAAGCGUGGGGAUCGAACAGGAUUAGAUACCCUGGUAGUCCACGCAGUAAACGAUGAAUGCUGGUUGUCCGGGUCGAAUGAGACCUGGGCGGCG
This 646-nucleotide ribosomal RNA is filed under the name uncultured bacterium. RNAcentral describes it as "bacterial SSU rRNA". It matches the Rfam family "Bacterial small subunit ribosomal RNA", at positions 202 to 848 of the family's 1533-position model. The record is from RNAcentral.